Non-coding RNA from Myodes glareolus (Bank vole), 157 nucleotides. Lineage: Eukaryota; Metazoa; Chordata; Mammalia; Rodentia; Cricetidae. The record is from RefSeq and is a predicted model, not a curated record.
AUACUUACCUGACAGGACAUAGAAUGGCCAAGAAGGUGGCUUUCUGGGAGAAGCGUGAUCCGUUGCACCUACGGCAUACUGACUUCAGCAAUUCCCCAAACUUCGGGACACUCAACUGUAUAAUGUGUGGUAGUGGGAGACUGUGUUCCAGCUCUGG